GACGAACGCUGGCGGCGUGCUUAACACAUGCAAGUCGAACGUGAUUUUUGUGCAAAUUCUUUCGGGAAUGGGAAUACAAUGAAAGUGCCGAACGGGUGAGUAACACGUGAGUAACCUUCCUUACACAGGGGGAUAGCCGAUGGAAACGACGAUUAAUACCGCAUGAGACCACAGAAUCGCAUGAUAUAGGGGUCAAAUAUUCAUCGGUGUAAGAAGGGCUCGCGUCUGAUUAGCUAGUUGGAAGGGUAAAGGCCUAUCCAGGCGACGAUCAGUAGCCGGUCUGAGAGGAUGAACGGGCACAUUGGAACUGAGAAACGGUCCAAACUCCUACGGGAGGCAGAAGUGGGGAAUAUUGCACAAAGGGGGGAACCCUGAUGCAGCGACGGCGCGUGCGCGAAGAAGGUUUUCGAAUCGUAAAGCUCAUUCCGAUGAGAAGAUAAUGACGGUAUCAUAGGAGGAAGCCCCGGCUAAAUACGUG
Molecule: ribosomal RNA, 478 nt
Filed under: uncultured bacterium
Lineage: Bacteria
Description: partial 16S ribosomal RNA
Rfam family: Bacterial small subunit ribosomal RNA
Source: RNAcentral